UUGGAGGGCAAGUCUGGUGCCAGCAGCCGCGGUAAUUCCAGCUCCAAUAGCGUAUAUUAAAGUUGUUGCAGUUAAAAAGCUCGUAGUUGAAUUUCGGAGUUUGUCGGUCGGUCGGGCUUCACUGUCCGCACUGGCCGGACGGAUUCCUACCUUCUGAAUAACCAGCAUGCUAUUAAGUUAGUGCGUUGGGGAAGCAGAGCUAUUACCUUGAAAAAAUUAGAGUGCUUAAAGCAGGCUUAUGCUUGAAUAGAUUAGCAUGGAAUAAUAAAAUAGGACGGCAUGGUUCUAUUUUGUUGGUUUCUAGGAUCACCGUAAUGAUUAACAGGGAUAGUUGGGGGCAUUAGUAUUCAAUUGUCAGAGGUGAAAUUCUUGGAUUUAUUGAAGACUAACUUCUGCGGAAGCAUCUGCCAAGGAUGUUUUCAUUAAUCAAGAACGAAAGUUAGGGGAUCGAAGACGAUCAGAUACCGUCGUAGUCUUAACCAUAAACUAUGCCGACUAGGGAUCGGACGAUGUUAAUUUUUUAAUGACUCGUUCGGCGCCUUACGGGAAAC
Molecule: ribosomal RNA, 551 nt
Filed under: uncultured Acaulosporaceae
Lineage: Eukaryota; Fungi; Glomeromycota; Glomeromycetes; Diversisporales; Acaulosporaceae
Description: SSU rRNA
Rfam family: Eukaryotic small subunit ribosomal RNA
Source: RNAcentral